This 459-nucleotide ribosomal RNA is filed under the name uncultured bacterium. Its description in RNAcentral is "partial 16S ribosomal RNA". It matches the Rfam family "Bacterial small subunit ribosomal RNA", at positions 338 to 795 of the family's 1533-position model. The record is from RNAcentral.
CCUACGGGAGGCAGCAGUGAGGAAUAUUGGUCAAUGGCCGGGAGGCUGAACCAGCCAAGUCGCGUGAGGGAAGACGGCCCUACGGGUUGUAAACCUCUUUUGUCAGGGAGCAAGGUGCAGGUCGGGACCUGCUGUGAGAGUACCUGAAGAAAAAGCAUCGGCUAACUCCGUGCCAGCAGCCGCGGUAAUACGGAGGAUGCGAGCGUUAUCCGGAUUUAUUGGGUUUAAAGGGUGCGCAGGCGGAGGCACAAGUCAGCGGUAAAAUCGCGGGGCUCAACCCCGCCCCGCCGUUGAAACUGGGUGCCUUGAGUGCGCGAAGGGUAGGCGGAAUGCGUGGUGUAGCGGUGAAAUGCAUAGAUAUCACGAAGAACUCCGAUCGCGAAGGCAGCCUACCGGCGCGCAACUGACGCUCAUGCACGAAAGCGUGGGUAUCGAACAGGAUUAGAUACCCUAGUAGUC